Molecule: long non-coding RNA, 5104 nt
Organism: Betta splendens (Siamese fighting fish)
Lineage: Eukaryota; Metazoa; Chordata; Actinopteri; Anabantiformes; Osphronemidae
Exons: 5
Source: RefSeq, a predicted model, not a curated record
CUUUCCACACAUGAUGGUUUAAUAAUGACUUGGCUACAGUGAUAGUUAUGGAUACCAUUUUUAGCACGAGUCCGUUCUGGCGCAAUGUGUUGUCCACAUGCUGCCAGCUCCUGAUUGGCUGUAAACAGCGGGUUGCAGCUGUCAGCGAUGCCCUAUUGCAGAGACGUCAGGGUGCCGCGGCGCUGGAGGAGAAGGCGCGGUUUGCACCAGUAGAGGGCAACAGCUCCUCAGAAAUGGAGGGGAACGGCAUGAAUGAACAUGAGCAAGCGCAUCUGUAGUGCUUACGCCUGCAUGAGAGGCACGGGGGUGUAAAAGUGGAUUUUCGUAGCUGUGCUCUGACAUCGACAAACUUCACAUGAACAGUCUUUGUCCCACGUCGGGCUCCGUGCGCUCCUCCACCUUCCCACAGUGCAUCAGGUUGCGUCGGCCUCCACCUUCUCCUCCACUGCCUUUGUAAGUCAUGUGUCCAGCUGAGGCUCUGCCGGCUCGCACAUGCACCUGCUCGGUGUAACUCACCUCCAGGCCGCGGCGCCGCUGCGGCUUCCUCUGGCGACAAAGGUGCAGGGGCACAGAUGAACUCUCCCAGCUCUAGCGUCAGUGCAUGUUAAAUCCCCCAUUUCAUGUUAAAGAGAGGUGACAAGCAUCUCGUCAGACAAAACCAGAGGGUAAGUCUCUUCUCUUACUUAAUACCUUCAUGCGCAUAGAUUCCAGUCAGGAAGGAAUGACGUGGCUGAUGUGUAGACAGGUGAAAGACUACGUGCAUCACACACACCUGUGUUAAAUGUCUCAUUCAUGACGCUGGACUUCACCUGACCUGAGACCUGCUGGUGAGACUCUCGGCCGGGGAGCGACUCCACUGUCUUGUGCUCUGCAGCGUGAGGUAGUUGGUUGUAUGGUUUCGCAUAAUAAACAGCACGGAGAUAACUGUACAACCUUCUAGCUUUCCCUGCGGAGUCACUUCUAACCGCGUCUAACUCACCCCCAGCAGAGAAGUAAGUAUGUUGUUACUCCAACAAAGCAUCUCCUAGCGGUUAAUGACAUGAGUUGUCCUUUUCAACUGCGAUGCCUUUCAUCCCCUCAAGGUCUAAUCAGAUUCUCUCCCUCUGGGCUGAAUGCUCAUGGAGCUUUUCUAACAUCCCCGAGGGAUUGUGUAUCGUUAUGUGUAAUAUUUGUAACAGCCAGCAUCCAGUGCGUGGAUGCGGCUCCCACUGCCACACAAGCACCUUUAAGACCACACGCCAACAUUAGACGCAUUUAUGAAUGCGAUGUUUUAAUCUUCCCAUACCCUCAUUCUGUUUCGAGCCUCACACAGCACAUUAAAGCAAUCCAUGACCUCCUGCUUGUCACCGGUUCGUCAGCUCUAUUAUGGGAUGUGGCCGCCCGUUUUACACAUACGCUGCCUCCAUGUUACGGCUGCGUGUGCUGCCGCCUCCUCCAACACAUGCCAUCACACUAAUUCAUCCACUUUACUUCCCCACGACCCCCCCCCCUCCCCGCCUCCCCCCAGCAUGCUGGUCCUCCGCUGGAGACGGCAGCCAUCUGCACUGCGUUGCAGCCGGUCCUCCUCCCCGCCGGAGAGGGGGCGCAUGCAUCAGGAUUGUGCUGAUUCUGCACUGUCAGUCGUGGAGUUCUUUAUCAUCCACCAGUGAUGCUCCCCUGCCCGAUCAGACAGCUGAACGUCGCGGGGCUAAUGUGGACGGAGGGAAGGGCUGUGUGCUCUGCCUUUUUGUCUCAGCCUGCAACAGGGGCUGUUUUUACCAGCCAUUGGUUCCACUUGGCUCACUUUCCGCCCUGGCAGAUGCUGCGCCGGGCGCAUAUUUGCGAGCAGAUUGCUGCGCGAGCGCAUCCACAUGCAUGUGUGCUGCUGGGAAAUGUGUUUCAACAUUGGAAGCGUGAGCGAAACGCCUCAACCUCUCCCAGUCUUAAAUCAGCGCCGGUUCCUCGCGGCGUCGCAGUCGCUCUGUGUAAAGAUACGUACUUUUCCUGCCUAUACACACACAGGCAAGUUUUAAAACAUUCAUAAUGAGCAAAUAUGUCUCGACUGACGCCAGCUCUGGUCUCUCUGCGUAUCCUGGUGAACUAGAGCAUCCCGAUCCGGAGACAGACAAGGCAGACACCAUCCCAGACUGAUGAUGUCAUUCCUAUGGAGCACUCCCAGUGCUUUGUCUCUGUGGCACUGCAGAGUGCAGCCGCAGGCACAAACACACACUCGCACACACACGCGCACACACACACUCACACACACACUCCCCCACACACCUGUCUGUGGCGUUUUACGUUUGUCACUCGGGUUCGGACACUGCUUUUAUCUUACGUUCAAGCCAAAAUGGCGCCCACAUGUUCGAAUGUAAUCUAUCGGCGAGGGGACAGACAGACGGAUGCGAGCGGGAAAAGACUCCUGCACGCUUUAUAAUUUAUUCACGAUCCCCGUGUGUGGAAAACGCACAGGAACUUGCCUUGGUGACAUUAAUGCAGGAUUGGACAGAUUAUGUGCGCUACUUAGGCACAUAUUGCACCAGUGUUCGGUGCGGAGGGACAGUGUGGACCGCGCAGCUUGUGUGAAGCCAGUCAGCAUGUUGUUUCUAUGCUAAUUUAAAUGGCUUGGCAUUACAGUAUGACCGUGGCUACGGAGGAGGAUGUGCUGGGUCCUGUAGAGCAGGGACGCGCUGAAUAAAGUCGCUUACAUACAGAAUAGGAUCAAAGCGGGAAGUAAAUUUGGCGUCAGAGUAAGUGUCUUAAACCUGCUGCUACAGUGACACAGUCAAGUAUAUAAGCAGUGUGUGGUGAAUAUUCAUAGGAUAUUAUGUAUGUGUAGUGUGGUGUUAUAUUCUAACCUACAUAUCUGAAAGGUUGAACCCUCAUUAUAAAACAGAAGCUUCUUCUGAAGAGCGUUUGUGAUACGGAGAAGCUGGGUUUGUUCAUCAGUUGUCUGAUGUCUUUACAUUUUUAACUGCUCUCACUUGUUCGUGUAUUUUUCUCAGUUUCAUACCUGUUUUUGUGGCCGUUGGCUGUGUGAAGCAGCUGUCGAUCACAGAGGUUUCAUUCCAGGGCUCGGUCUCUCUUCGCUCCUUUGGACCCAGUACAUAGCAACUAUGUAUUUUCUUUGUCGGUUUACCCUCAUUUUCUCUAAGUGUGUCACACUCGGGUGAUAAUCUCUGUUGUACAACAUGGUCAGAACACUUUAGGGCCAUUAAUGGUGCUUACACAUCAAGUGCAGUGUUUAUGCUCCAUCUUGCUGAACAGGCAGCCAAUCAGUGGCCCUAAAUUAGAUUUACUUUCAUUUCUGAAUUUCCCUCAGGGCCUUAUGAUUCUGUUAUCCAACAAACACAACUGCUGCUCUCUGUCCUCACAAAGAUGAGAUAAAUGCUGGAAUCAAACUUCCUUUAAACGUAUGAACUGAUGUGACAAUGGUCAGAUAUAUUGAAGGUAUAAAACGUUUUAACUGAUUUGAUGCAUAGAGUAUUUAUAUAUCAUUUCCAUAAGGUCGACUGUGUAGUUGUCCACCUCUGAUGUCAAGCUCUGUAAUCAAAGCACAUUGGUGUAAUUGGCAAAGCUUUCCACAAUGGCUUCAUUUAGUGUUUGAUGUCACUCCAGCUGCAAUUUGGAGUUAUGUUGGUGCAACACUAUAAAUCCUGUAAUCAAUGUGAUGAUGGUAUGAUUGCUGUACACAUAGGAGGCAGUAAUGUCAGGCUCUCAGGUUCAUGAGACUCCUGGGCUUCAUAUUUUCUCUCUAUUCUCAUCCUAUUAGAGAUUCUGACCCUCCCCCUGCAUCCCCACUUUCUGCUAGCCUUUCUGCCACCCACCCUCCCCCAUCAUCUCUCUCUCUCGUUUUCUCUCUCACACACAUUCUCAAUUUCACAGACACACACACACCCAUAGACACACACACAUGCAUGCACUCAAUGCACUCUCUCUUUCUACCUAUCUCACACAUUCACACAGGCAGCUCACAGAUCGCGCGUGUGUGUGUGUGUGUGUGUGUGUGUGUGUGUGUGUGUGUGUGUGUGUGUGUGUGUGUGUGUGUGUGUGUGUGUGUGUGUGUGUGUGUGUGUGUGUGUGUGCGCCCAUGGAGGGGGUUUACUGAGCUAGCACAGACGUAAGGCUUGGAAAACGUGAGAGCAAAAGAGUGAGAUGGAAGGAUGACGACUAGAGAGAGUAAAAUAGGGAGAGAGAAAGGAAGAGAGGAGACUUUGAGGUGCAAUGAAAGCAGGAGGGGACGCUGGAAACCAUGAAUGCAGCGUGGAGGCUCUCGUGCGUUUGUGAUGGCAGCCCUGCAGAGACAAAAGACCAGGAGAUAGAUAGAGGGGGUGAGAGGAAGCGCACUGAUUCUGUCUGGGAGAGGAAAGAAAGAAGAGGCUCACAGUAAGGUGGAGCGACGUGUCUAAUGUUCUCCCAGUACGGCUCGACUCCGUCUUUGUCUUCCUCCUCGUAACCAUCGGAGACUCGUUUAGUUUUACCUGCGAACCAGGAGACCGGCCGGUGCCGCAGAAUCCAAAUGUCAGAUGAGGUCAUGUCUUUGUCUGGGUGCAGCGUCUCUGCGGAUCUUUCCUUUAAAACAUUUUUUGUCUACGUGUGGGGGUCUGCGCCUUAGUCCGCUGUAUAUUCAAUUCCUCCCUGUGUGUUUUCCUUUCACAGUAUGCCCCUCUGUCCCUGAGACCCUUAACCUGUGAGGUCAAAGCAGGUCACAGGUGAGGUCCUCGGGAACAGGGCUGCAUUCAGUUUCAACAGGAGCAUUUUGUAAAAUAUCUUUAUGUGACAUAUGUUUGGAUGUUUCGUUCAAGCCACUGUUUGACUGUAUGACUGAACAAUGAUGUAUUUUUAUAUUCUUCACGUCCAGCCGUGUGUCCCCUCACACUUUCAGUGUUUACCUGCCGUGACUCAGAAAGAAGACGACUUCUCCUGUUGCAGCAGAGCACCUCUCAGGGGGCUGAACCCUAUUGGCUGGCUUUGUGGUGAAGCCCUGAAUAGGGGCAAACAGGAAGACAGCCAUGGGUUGUGACCCCGUCUUAUUCACCACCUUCCAGAAUUGAUGCAUAAUGUGCAUGCUAUUUAAUAAACGCCGGUUCAGUUUUUCCUCCUACCUGAAUAAAAAUAUGACAAUCAG